This 578-nucleotide long non-coding RNA is filed under the name Capsicum annuum. RNAcentral describes it as "long non-coding RNA (CANN_LNC016458)". The record is from RNAcentral. Lineage: Eukaryota; Viridiplantae; Streptophyta; Magnoliopsida; Solanales; Solanaceae.
CAACUACACGAUAAACAUGGCUACAACAGUGCAGUGAAAAGAACUGUAAAAGAAGUUUACACUGCAGUCUAGCAACAUAAAAAUCCUGCUAUCUUAAGCAAAUUUGUUCAACAGAAGUAAACACGAUAAAAAUACUGAAAUAAACUCAACCCAACAGUUGACAGAAGAAUACAGUUACACACAGCACUCUCGUCUUUGAUGAUAUAAUACUAACAAAUGGUAAAACUCCAAGACAGAAGUAGAACUUCAUAGGUCCAUGGACUUGGUUCCUUCCCUUCUCACCAUUCCUAGCAUGUUAAAAGUCCCGUGGACACGUCUGCGGCAGAGAACACCUGUAUUCAAAACUAUUAUAAGCUGCUAUGUAAAGGUAGGCACGACCACAGGAACCUUUAACCUGCAAAAACUUGGAAUAGAUCGAUAACAUCAAUCUUAUAAAAAUGACAAACUCUAUACUUUAUCCUAUAAAGAGACACGUCUCUAGACUGACACAACUAAACACUUAAACCAAAUGCUUUCAUUUUCAGGAAGAAUAAACCAAGGAGAGAAAAGACCAUUUGACUCGCCCUAAAGUUAAAAAU